RNAcentral lists this ribosomal RNA (497 nucleotides) under uncultured bacterium. RNAcentral describes it as "partial 16S ribosomal RNA". It matches the Rfam family "Bacterial small subunit ribosomal RNA", at positions 28 to 507 of the family's 1533-position model. The record is from RNAcentral.
GAUGAACGCUGGCGGCGUGCCUAAUACAUGCAAGUCGAGCGAACAGAUGAGGAGCUUGCUCCUCUGACGUUAGCGGCGGACGGGUGAGUAACACGUGGAUAACCUACUUAUAAGACUGGGAUAACUUCGUGAAACCGGAGCUAAUACCGGAUAAUAUAUUGAACCGCAUGGUUCAAUAGUGAAAGACGGUUUUGCUGUCACUUAUAGAUGGAUCCGCGCCGCAUUAGCUAGUUGGUAAGGUAACGGCUUACCAAGGCAACGAUGCGUAGCCGACCUGAGAGGAUGAUCGGCCACACUGGAACUGAGACACGGUCCAGACUCCUACGGGAGGCAGCAGUAGGGAAUCUUCGGCAAUGGGCGAAAGCCUGACGCAGCAACGCCGCGUGAGUGAUGAAGGUCUUCGGAUCGUAAAACUCUGUUAUUAGGGAAGAACAAAUGCGUAAGUAACUAUGCACGUCUUGACGGUACCUAAUCAGAAAGCCACGGCUAACUACGUG